RNAcentral lists this ribosomal RNA (224 nucleotides) under uncultured bacterium. RNAcentral's name for it is "partial 16S ribosomal RNA". It matches the Rfam family "Bacterial small subunit ribosomal RNA", at positions 111 to 334 of the family's 1533-position model. The record is from RNAcentral.
UAACGCGUGAGUAACCUGCCUUGGAGUGGGGAAUAACACAGUGAAAACUGUGCUAAUACCGCAUAAUGCAUUUGGGUCGCAUGAUUCUGAAUGCCAAAGAUUUAUCGCUCUGAGAUGGACUCGCGUCUGAUUAGCUAGUUGGCGGGGUAACGGCCCACCAAGGCGACGAUCGGUAGCCGGACUGAGAGGUUGACCGGCCACACUGGAACUGGAACACGGUCCAG